GACGAACGCUGGCGGCGUGCCUAACACAUGCAAGUCGAACGGAACUGUUUUGAAAGAUUUCUUCGGAAUGAAUUUGAUUUAGUUUAGUGGCGGACGGGUGAGUAACGCGUGAGUAACCUGCCUUCAAGAGGGGAAUAACAUUCUGAAAAGAAUGCUAAUACCGCAUGACAUAUCGGAACCACAUGGUUUUGAUAUCAAAGAUUUUAUCGCUUGAAGAUGGACUCGCGUCCGAUUAGUUAGUUGGUGAGGUAACGGCUCACCAAGACCGCGAUCGGUAGCCGGACUGAGAGGUUGAACGGCCACAUGGGGACUGAGACACGGCCCAGACUCCUACGGGAGGCAGCAGUGGGGGAUAUUGCGCAAUGGGGGCAACCCUGACGCAGCAACGCCGCGUGAAGGAUGAAGGUUUUCGGAUUGUAAACUUCUUUUAUUAAGGACGAAAAAUGACGGUACUUAAUGAAUAAGCUCCGGCUAACUACGUG
RNAcentral lists this ribosomal RNA (482 nucleotides) under uncultured bacterium. Its description in RNAcentral is "partial 16S ribosomal RNA". It matches the Rfam family "Bacterial small subunit ribosomal RNA", at positions 28 to 507 of the family's 1533-position model. The record is from RNAcentral.